This 198-nucleotide unclassified non-coding RNA is filed under the name soil metagenome. RNAcentral's name for it is "partial contains 5.8S ribosomal RNA, internal transcribed spacer 2, and large subunit ribosomal RNA". The record is from RNAcentral.
AAGACUAUAGACCUGCGGAGUACCUGCGGAAGGAUCAUUCAUAAUAAAAGUGAAAUAAAUUAUGGCACUUUUAAAACAAUCCAUAUCCACCUUGUGUGCAAUGUUUUUUUUAUAUCAACUCUUUUAAAUACAAAUUGAUCUGAAAUUAUUUUAUAUGAAUACUUAAUUCAAAAAUAUAACUUUUAGCAAUGGAUCUCU